UUAACUCAAAUUUGUAUGGAGUUGGAACCUAUGCCUACGUUUUCCGCUAAGGGCGCUGUUCCAACUUCAUACAAAAUACAAUUA
Bombyx mori (domestic silkworm) is the source of this 84-nucleotide non-coding RNA. Lineage: Eukaryota; Metazoa; Arthropoda; Insecta; Lepidoptera; Bombycidae. The record is from Rfam.